Molecule: ribosomal RNA, 804 nt
Filed under: Steinernema sp. PAK.S.S.86(A)
Lineage: Eukaryota; Metazoa; Nematoda; Chromadorea; Rhabditida; Steinernematidae
Description: eukaryotic LSU rRNA
Rfam family: 5.8S ribosomal RNA (bases 301-452)
Source: RNAcentral
GUUUCCGUAGGUGAACCUGCGGAAGGAUCAUUAUUGAGCUAAUUUCUUCCAUUUAAUCAGGUCUUUGCUGUUUGUCUCUAAGCAUUGACUUGAUCUUGCUUUGAAUGGUUUCUAGAGACGUUUGGAGCAGUCAUUUAAGCGUGACUGUGAUGAUGAGCGUUUUACUUUGCUUGCAUUUCGCUGUUUCUUGAAUGCUUAGCGAUGAGAAUUAAAGAGGUCUGCUGACUCGCCAUUUUUAUUGAUAACAAAAACGUUUUGUUUUGAUUUUUGUGUCACUUGUUGAUGCAUUAUUCAAUUAUCAAGUCUUAUCGGUGGAUCACUCGGUUCGUAGGUCGAUGAAAAACGGGGCAAAAACCGUUAUUUGGCGUGAAUUGCAGACAUAUUGAGCGCUAAAAUUUUGAACGCAAAUGGCACUAACAGGGUUAUCUGCUAGUAUGUUCAAUUGAGGGUCUUUUGACUAGAAUCUGGCAAUCGGCUGUGAUUGCUUUUUCGGAAAGUUAUUUUGCUUUUUCUAAAGUGAAGUACCUUUUUGGUAUGGCUAUUUGAUUGUCUAAUGGAUGUCUGGUUAGCUGUUUCUUUGCUAGACGUCUGCAAUCAUUUGGCUUUGCGUAGUGUUUGAAUAAUAGGUUAGCGCGUUUCUUGCUAACUGACUUUUGCACAAGCAAGUGUAAUACGUUUCUUAAAGUCAGCUUUUAUUCAAUUUGGUUUUCUGGCUUGAUUUGUCGGUUUACUGUGCUAUGCUUUGUCAAUCUUUUCGAACUAGACCUCAAUUUGAGCAAGAUUACCCGCUGAACUUAAGCAUAU